CUGUUAUGGUGGGAUUCAGUCACUAACUAGCAGUGAAUGCUCUUAAAUUUUCAUUAUUUUAACUGGCCUGUAUUUUCUCUUGCCAGGGCACUUCAUUUGGAGGUUCCCCAGCAAGAGCCCUUUGGCUCUGUUUGACAGUCAGUCUCUUUCUCUAGAGGGUUAAGGGAGUUACCGUCUCUAGCCAGUAGCCAUUGACAUGAUGUUCCUCGGCCUCGGACCUUGGUAACUCACUUUUGCGGACUGGGUGAGGAGACUAAAUUUCACUAAAUUGACUUUGAGCAUUCUGGAAACCGGUUCAAUUCUGGGUCUCUGCUGCCUCCCCGCCUCAGCCUGCUGGAUAUGGACCUCCAACCAGGUGAUUGGAUCAUGACCAGAAAAUUUCCUCAUGGCUCUGCAUUGGAACUCCGCUGGAUGGCACUCACCAGGUCAUUGUCUCCAAUACCUCAGCAGUAAAGUAGCCCACCAUAAGGCUUGGAUCUAUUGUUUGCAUGUGAGGCCUUGCCCUGCUCCUGACAUUCCUGUAGGACCCAACUUAGGAAGAUGAUGUUUUUAUAUCUUAUGCUAUUUUAUGGUCCGAUCCUCCCUCUUGCUUCUCCCACCCUAUUGGGGAAGUCUAGCCACUAUUCUCCCCAUAGAUAUGUGUAGAACCUAAUAAAAACUACUGGGGGGGGCGGUGAGACUUAUGGGCAGCCAUGGUUCUAUCUGGAUCUGUGCAAACUCUUGGGAAACUUUUGGCAUUUCCCCCUCUCCCACCAGCUGUGUUUUAUAACACUCAUAUAAAAAGAUCCCUCCAGGUUAAAGGGAAUGGAGUUUGGGAACUUGGCCCUCCCCUCAUAUGGAUGUGCGUCCUUAAGCAUUGAAAAAGGGUUAAGGAAAACCCAGUACUAUAUGUGCCUAGUGGAGAGACCAUCUGAGUGUCAGGUGUUGGGCCAGUACUACUGCAGAUCAUGGGGCUGUGAGACCAGAGGAUAUUGCUUCUCUGAGGCAGGCCAGGACUCCUACAUUAAGGUGUAUAGAUUAACACUACCACAACAAUGCCAAAAGGAAGGCACCUGCAAUUCCAUUGUAGUCACAAUGAAUGAAUGGUACUAUGAGGCCUGGGGAUUGGGAAGGACCUGGGAUAUCAGAUUUUAUGUGGCAGGAAGAGAUUUGGGAGCCCUGUUCACAAUCCAAAGAAGGACCCUCUUGAGGGAAAACAUCCCCAUAGGUCCUAGUGCAGUUAUUAAUCCCCCCUCAUUUACUACUGAGACCAGCCACAACUCUCAUCUGGGAGGGGAAACCCUGACAGUUGUCCCACAUGCCUUCAGCCUCCAUUCCCCUGAGGACUGCUGUCUCCCUAUGAGAGCUUUAUGUCAGUUUUUGUUGGAGUAUACUGGCUGAUAAAUCUGAUUAGCCCCGCCCUUGCCACAAGCUAUUUGCUCUGCCUGGACCUGGUGUCCCCUUACUUUGUGGGCAUAGGCGUAAAUGCCACCUAGGAGACAGAGACCCACUAAAUACUGAAUCUUUCAUUCUGGCCCGAGAACCUGCCCCCAGAGUACACUACCCACGUUCCCAGAUUACCUUUGGGAGGGGUAGAAGGUGACGUGUGGUACAUCAAAUUGGAAGGCUAUGAUCUGGAGCCUCCCUGUAUAAAAAGCAUUGUAUAGCAGUAUUGAGGUUCCCCCACAGAAGAAUACCGUAACCUCCCUAAUAUGCGUCCCAACAGGGUCCUGUCUUUGCAUGUACCAUGGGAUUAACCCCUUGUAUCAGUGAAUUGUGCUUUUUCCUUGGUAGAAUCUCUUUGCAUGCUCAUAUAUGGAUUCCCUAAGUGUAUUUAUAUUCUGAAGAAGGGACCAAAGAACAUUUUGGUCUAUUGCAUAGGGCAAGGAGAGUUGCUCCUAUUCUAGUUCCCUCCUAGUGGGAAUGGGAAUAGCAGCUCCACAGCUGUUGGGACAGAUGCCCUGAUCCAUGGUGAUAGGCCCAUAUUAGCCCUGGAUUCCCAGGUGGACCAGGAUUUAAAGGACCUGGAAAAUCAAAUAUCCUUCUUGGAGAACUCCCUAAACUCUUUUGCAGAGGUGGUCCUACAGAAUCAUUGGGAACUAGAUUUACUCUGUCUUAAGUAAAGAGGGGUAUGUAUGGCCCCGGGGCAGCUUGCUGUUUUUAUGUUAACAACUGGGGGUUAUAAGAAAGUCCCUAUCUGCAGUCAGAAAGCAGAUUGAGGAUCGAGAGACGGCUCAACACCAAUCGAUGUUUUGGUAUCAGUUACUUUUCAAUUGGUCCCCUGGAUGACCUCCCUUUAACUUACCUAAUGGGCCUCUUACUCUAUUUCUGCUGGCACUACUAAUUGCCCCUUGUUUGAUUAACUAUUUAAACACAUAUAUGAGGAAGAGGACCCAGAUUGUUAAGUUGUUUGUCACCAAAACCACUUACUCUCCCAUGGUCUCUGAUGAGUCCAGUCUCUAAACAGUCACAAGAAAAGUGGGAGUGAAAUGGAUGGACACCCCUCUGGAACAUGAGAAACAUAAUCUUGAAACUUUGUAGUUAGAAGUUUGUUACUAGCUCUUCACACCCUAAUGCAGAUGGUAUUUUUACACCCCCAGAUGUGCUGCCUUAAAAAAACCUAAGAUCUUGACUGACAACUUGAUAAACAUAAAGAAAUACUGUCUUAUUGCUUGUCUGGGAAUGGCACCCUUAGUGUGAUAAUCUUUGCCUCCUGUCUAGGUUGAAAUUCUUUUAGUAUGACAAAUGUAUUAGGGAACUUUAAUGUUUCUUUCUAUAAAUAAGUGUCUCUGAAAUCACUUGAUAAUGACUUCCCUGUUCUGGGGGUGGGGAGGUGGGGUUUCUGUUGCUAGUUAGCAAUAAACACUCUUAAAUUUUCA
Long non-coding RNA from Sarcophilus harrisii (Tasmanian devil), 2858 nucleotides. RefSeq lists it as uncharacterized. Lineage: Eukaryota; Metazoa; Chordata; Mammalia; Dasyuromorphia; Dasyuridae. The record is from RefSeq and is a predicted model, not a curated record. The transcript is spliced from 2 exons.